RNAcentral lists this unclassified non-coding RNA (554 nucleotides) under Hevea brasiliensis (rubber tree). Lineage: Eukaryota; Viridiplantae; Streptophyta; Magnoliopsida; Malpighiales; Euphorbiaceae. The record is from RNAcentral.
AGAUAUUACCUUGCAUCAUCUGCGGACAUGAAAUUAUUUUACAGAUGAAGAAACAAAUGGGGCAUGAACAAAGCAUCAUCAACAAGAAAUAAUGUUGAAUAUUAGCCUCCAGGUACUAAAGACACUGGAAUUCCUAAAUGUAAUUGGAUACUCCCAAGAAAAAUCAAAUUUUAUAUUUCUCACUCAAGGAAAGGUGAGGCAUUCCUGCUGCUGUAAACAAUACAAAAUGAGAGUGAAAGUGAUUACUCAGGAGAUGCAGAAAACAGUUGAGCCUGAAUGAUUCAAUGAAAAUACUGAGUCAAAUUUUGAACAAAUUCCUUGUGGCCAUAGAGAAAUUUACUUUGAUGAAGGUAUGAGUUUAAUUUCAUUUAGUGAGUCUUAGUUUUUAGCAAGUGAUGGAUUGUAUACAUGAUUAAUGUAAUGCCAAAUAUAUAUUUAUGGUUCCAUUUUAGUAUCCUUCUGUUCACAGGGAAUAUAAUCCAAUUUUGUGGGCCUUCCCUUUAGGCUACCCUAAAGACAUAAUAAGCCUAAUUUCCCAAAAAAACAAAGAAAAA